GGUGCACGGUAAAGAAACAGACUUACAUUGUUACACUCGAAGAAUGGCAUCGCAGACAGAAUUUUCUUUUUCAUCAAAUGUGCGAGACUAGAAUCGAAAGGGAUGGAACGCAGUUAGCGGGACAGAUUUUCCUGACACGGACGAGCUGGGAAGCAGCGAGAGCUUUUAGCUUCGGGUUUCCUGUGGUUUCGAAGCUCAACUUUUCAUCGCGACCGAGAGAAAGAGAAGGAUAGGGUAUAGUCAGAGUGGAAAUGCCAGCCAAGGGUUUCUAGUUUGGAUAUUUGCCGCUGAAAAAUGUUGUCCUAUAUUUGGAUACGGUAUCCCGAAGGGUGAGAGAGGGGAUAGCUUGUCCCUCGACUGAACCAUUAAAAUCCUACUGUUCCGCUUCUUUUUGAUUCGUCACUUAAAUGUCGGUGACACGUGUCUCCGUGCACUUUGACUCAGCUAUUAAUUUGCGGUAAUUGAAUGACGUGACGUAAGAUGUGUUGCAUUAAGUGCACGUGGCAUAGUUUCAAAUUUGAAGAGAAAAUUUUCUUUAAGAACUCAAUUGAAAUUAAAAUUAAAAUUAGAAUUAUCGAAUGCCUCUGAAAUUAAUUUACAAUAGGUAAUUCGAAAUUGCCAACUAAAGGGUUAGAUAAAAAAAAAAAAAAAAAUGGAAGGAAAUUUCUGAUAAAUUAGUAAUAAAUAUCGACAAGGAUGAACGAACCAUGGCGAAUCAUGAAGAAACAAAGGGUAGAUCGUUUCGGUAGUAGCAGUUUGCCCUCGGAUUUCACGGUGGAGGGAUUAUAUAUGCAAACGAGGCGCAUUUUGCGGUAGCUGCCUGGCCAGUGAUAAUCGAGAACAAUUAAAAUGCAAUGUUAUGAAAGAUACACAGGAAUGUGGGUAAUAAAAGCGAAGUCAAAGAACCGUGUCCGAAACCCUUUUCAUAAUAUAUUUAUUGGCUAAUAUUAUCACGUUGCAAUAUUUCAAUUUUCAAAAAGGAAAUAAAAAUUAACUCCCUGCAAAUGUACUUAACAUCAAAAGGAUUAAAGUGUCAUCAUAUACGCGUGUCGUAAGCACAGGUAUCUUUUAACACCCUCGCUCGUUCGUGACAAGUAAUAAUUAAUUUACACCGUGGCUCUGCAAGCUCACGAGACUAAUGAAUGUUAAUACAUUCACGUUUCAACAAAGUUCGCCGUAUUUGCCAUUUGAUUUCUCUGAACAAGUUUUCCUCUCGCGACGUGAUUAAUCAGCGUUCCUCAUUGUUUCAAAAAGUGAACGAUACUGAUAUGUCAAGGCUGGCUGCAAGAAGAUAAACCAGGAUCCUUGAACUUUAUUUACACUCGUUUACAAUGGAAUAUUAAUCCUUUUGCAUUACGUCGAAAUCACUUAAAUCCACUGCCAACUCUGGCGCAAGCUACACAAGAUCUUGUGUACUGUCGAGUAAUCCCUCAGGAUCCGGUGCUUUGACUGGCAACAGCUUUGAACCAAACGUUUGGUUCGGGACGGAUUUCGUGUUGAUCGAGAAUGCUUCAUCGGUCUCCUUUCUCCUGGAUAUUCGAAUAACGAACGAUAAAUUAAUCCGUACAAAUUGAUCUCAGAUGCAUAAAUAUAUUAAUCGAAUAUAAGGUAUUACCAACUGUGUCGCGCGAAGGAAGUUCUUUGUACUUAUGCCUGCAUACGGAGCACCGAUUGCUAGGAAUAAUUACGGGACAAUUAAUCAGCUUGAGUAAUUAUCUGCGCGCGGCAGAGAAUUCUGCGAGGCUUGUUCUGGCACACAUGAGAAAUUAAUUACUAGAUAUUCCGAUUUCGUGGGAGUAAUGGGAUUAUAAGUAGCUGACGUUUUGUUGCAACUUGACAUUACCAAUAGAUGUACGAACAGUAUGAAUCUACAAAGUUUUACUUGUACGUAGAAGUGAAUGAAAAUUUAAUGGACAAAUCAUUUUCUGCGUGCGACAGUUCAUUGAGUCACUUCUGAAGCAACUGAAAUGAGUUUGCAAUCAAUAAUCGCGAUUAAUAUUUCACUAUUCCAGUCACGAUCUUUGAAUUGCCCGUAAAAGGAAAGUUCGAUAAUUAACGGUACACAAGUUAUUCAAUUAUCAAGUCCGUCCAGUAGGAGGUAGCACUGUUUGCAUAGUUUAGAUGGGUUAUUUGUAUUCAAGGAAAAGAAGGAAGAAGGAGAUUUCUGUUAGGAGAUUAAGAGUCAGCUCUGGAGAUGAUCAAAAGAUCCGGGAGAAGUUCUCUGUCCCUUAGUUCGACCGACGUGGCACGACGACCCAAUUUAAUUAUCUAAUUAGACACCGGGCUGAACUGCGAAUUAAAUGAUUCAAGGGGCCCCGAGGGGGUGUUAAUCCGAGCUUAAGCUUCGACUAUUACAUUUGUCGAAGUAAAACGCAGCUUCACAACCUGUCGAGCGAUCGCACCGGGAUUCAUUUUUUCUAUUCUUCCUUUGUGCGCUUAACUCGCCCGAAUGACUAAUCCUGUGUGAUUUGACGAAAAUGCAUGGAAUGUAUUGCAGGAAUAAAAUUGUAAUUGUUGAAGAGUAGAUUUUCGUAUGUUUUUAGAAUUGCAUGCAUUCUAAACUGCACCUAUUUCAAAAUUGUAUCCAUUCAAAAUUGCACUCAUUCCGAAUUGCAUGCAUUGCGAUUUGCACCUAUUCUAAAGUGCAUCUAUUCCAAAUUGCAUACAUUUCAAAUUGCAUAUUUUCCAAAUUCGAAUACUUUGUUCGACAGUUCGAUAAAACUUCCAUUAUUUCUUUUUGCCUUUGAGCAUUCUCAUUCCAGCAAACGAAAAAAAAAAUAAAUUGUAGCUUUCUGUGAUUGUAAUGACCCACAUCGAAGCUACAGUGUAUCGAACGAUUCAUUACGUUAAAUAAAGUUUGCCAGACUUGCUCCGGUGCAAACCGGAUUGAACGGAAGUUCGUCGUUCAUUGUACUCGAUUAACAUUGUCGUAUUAAUAGCAAGCUUCCUACAGAUAUAGAAAACUGUAAAAGAAACCCGAAUGAUAGUAUAUAAUAAAUUGUAAUAAAUUUCAAGCUGAUUAGUAUUCCUUUGCACGAACUCGUAUGCAAACCAUGAAAUGAUGUGUAUCAGAUGAUAUAAGCAUAAAUCAACGUAUUAUGCGCGCAUAGAAUACAUCAUGCUACUAUUGAAAUAUGGAGACUGCUAGUUUGGAAUUUUAUUAAAUCGCUCGAUUUUACAAUAAGUUAUACCUGUAUUAUGUUUACACGAGCAAAUAUUUGGCAGGAGCUCCAUAUUGCAGAACGAUAUGUAUGCAUCCGGUGGGAUACUGGAAACCGUACGUGACGGUUAUUACGUAACAGUGUGAACAUAUUUUAUCGCGUAAUAAUGCUUAUUCAGUUACUUUCGUAAUUAACAUGAAAAUCUGGAAGAACGUUCGAGUGCUCAUUUAUGGACGAAACGUGGCAAAUUACGUGCUUUAUUAAUUGGACAGAUUCCAAAUUGCAUAUUUUGCAAAUUUCACAUGUUCCAAAUUACACGCUUUAAAAGUUUCAUCCAUUCCAAAGUACAAUUUCUCAAAAUUGCACGAAUUCACAAUUGCAAUCUUUCAAAGUUGGACGCAUUCCAAAUUGCAAUCUUUUAAAAUUGCAUGCAUUCCAAAUUACAAUCUUUCAGUUGCACGCAUUCCAAAUUGCAGUCUUUUAAAAUUGCACGCAUUCACAAUUGCAGUCUUUGAAUGUUGCACGCAUUCCAAAUUGCAAUCCUUCAAAACUGCACGCACUCCAAGUUGCACGCAUUCCAAACUGCAAUCUCUCAAAAUUGCACGCAUUCCAUAUUCCACAUAUUCCAAAUUGCACACAUUCCUACUUCUAUUCAUUGGUAGUAGCAAAAGGGUUAAGAAUAUUUGUCGUGUGUUCCUCGCUCUAUCGCAGUUGGUUCUCGUUAAUGAACAAGCAGCGAGGAACUCGUUGACAUCGGUUGAUAGAUGUCAAACUAGACAGACUCACUGUCAAGUGGCAUCGUAGUAAUGUCGCGAAAGAUAGCGUGUUUAAAGCUUAUCACGUGCAAUUUCUGCUCUUACCAAACGAUGAAAUUUCCUACGUCUAUGUCUAUAUCUUCGUACGAAGCUUCGUAUACAGCUUAGAUCCCUGUAAGCACGUGCAACUGGUUGCCAAUAAGCCGUGCCACCGGCAUGGACUCAUAGAAGCUGAUGUGUGCACGAUAUGCUCUAUACCUUAUGUCUUCAUCGAUUUAUUUAAUAGGCGUUUCAAAAUUUCAUGCUCAUUUUAUAAUUCGCAAAAUUGCAUUCGAUGAUUUGGUUCCAUUGAAAAGAGAAACCAAUGCAAAUUACAUUGCAGUUGCAUAAUUUUACAAAGAAGAUGCACAAUUACUUUGAUGCACGCAAUACAAGAACUUGGUCAGAAUGACAUUCCAAUAACAAAAAUGAUACCAUAAAUCGUCAUAACAUUGCCCGUAAUAAUCGGAAGCUACUUAAUUCGUAGAAUUAGGUCAUGGUUGUCGGGGCAAUUGCAUCGGUGCACAUCAGUCUGUGACCUUAUUAAUGUGUUACGAGCGAAGGGGCUAAGCAUACCUGAUUCAAAUUGUUCUUCAAACAUGUCUCGUGUCAUUAAAAACAGAUCUAUUCUCCUUAUUCUGGUACAUUUUGUACAUCAUAUAAUGCACUUUGAACCAGAGGGAUGGAAGUGACAUUUUUCUUUUCGCAUUUAAUAAUUUAACUAACCAUUUCUAUUUCUAAUUUAAAAAUUUCAAAGAAUGUCGCUCUCAUAUGUCACCAUAAAAUUUAUUUCCAUUACAUCUGCCUCCCCUAUCGUUCAAUCAACUAUCGAUUCCCUCUCCGUUGACUCAAUUUGAAAUGAAGAAUCUCGUUGAAUAAAGACAGGGAACAAAAUAGGUUCUUCGAUCCUUAAAAUUCAAUGUGCCGGAGUCGGAAGGUAAUAAAUCCGUGACGGUGUCGUGUAGCCGCCAUCGAAAUCCGGGAUCCCGUCAGCGAGAGGUGGCAUUUAAUGGCGCAGAGGCGACGGAAGUUGAAUCGUAAAUUCGGCCGGAAGGGGCGCGUGGAAAAGCGAGCAUCCGCGCCGUUGGAAGGCGAACUUUGCCCAUCCUAAUGUAGGUCUAGCAGCAACGUGUGCCGUGCUACGAACACAAGGACUCCGGGUCCCAUGGCCUAGAUUACAGCCCGUUUCCCUUCGCAAAUGCGAUCGGCCGCGUUUACCACCGGCGCGUACACUUAUCGCAUUGUGCAUGCUGAUACGCGUGAAAACGUCUUUAUUCUCCCGACGAGAUAGGAGCUUUUAAUCAACGAAGGAAUACUUUGUUAAUUGCCAAGCGAAAUAUCAUUAGGUUGAGAUGGAGUGUCUACAUUUUUCAGGCUUCUAAUUUGUAGUAAAAAAAGGGAAAAAUUAUAAAUUAAAUUUGCAAUUUUAUAGUGCAGAUUUUAAUAAUUUUUAAAUAUAAUUCUUUUUUUCUAUAAAAAUUACAAAAGUUAUUGAUUACGU
Osmia lignaria (orchard mason bee) is the source of this 5456-nucleotide non-coding RNA. Lineage: Eukaryota; Metazoa; Arthropoda; Insecta; Hymenoptera; Megachilidae. The record is from RefSeq and is a predicted model, not a curated record.